UGUUGGUGCAGGCUCGUUCGGUUCAUUGUUCAUUGUUCCGCUGGCUGCUCAGGUUUGCCAACGACAUUAGUUUGUUGUUUUCUCCCAGAGGUGGAUUAUUUCUGCGGGGUUGAGCUCCUCCAUGACCCGAUUUCUUACCUUGUUGGUUGUGGCAUAUGGCAGUCGGCAUUUGCUUGAUGAAUGUUUCAGUUCCUCUUGUUUGUUUGCAUUCUGAUCAAGCCAUGGCGCAUAUUGCCUCUGAUUUGGUUAUUUGAGUGUUCUCUUAUACAGAAAAAUUAAUUUGCUUGUUUUUCAUUUCUAUAGGGAUAUGAGGAGAGAGCUCUGUUGUUGGCAGCGGCUGCAUCAUUUCAACAAGUGACAUAGUUGAUCUUUGCUGCAUGGUAUGUACCUAAGGUUGGAGAUGUUGAAUUAGGUAAGAAAAAGAUGACAACCAUUUGCUUGUUUUUUCACUCCUUUAGGGAUAUGAGGAGAGAGCUCUAUUGUUAGUCAGCUACUUCCAUUUUUGGAUGAUUAAUUAUUUGCAUGAGGUUCAGAGAAUGGCCUCUAUUGCCU
This 552-nucleotide long non-coding RNA is filed under the name Triticum aestivum (bread wheat). Its description in RNAcentral is "long non-coding RNA (TAES_LNC017211)". The record is from RNAcentral. Lineage: Eukaryota; Viridiplantae; Streptophyta; Magnoliopsida; Poales; Poaceae.